UACAAUGGCGUAAACAGAGGGAAGCGAGCCCGCGAGGGGGAGCAAAUCCCAAAAAUAAACGUCCCAGUUCGGAUUGUAGGCUGCAACCCGCCUGCAUGAAGUUGGAAUCGCUAGUAAUCGCGGAUCAGCAUGCCGCGGUGAAUACGUUCCCGGGCCUUGUACACACCGCCCGUCACACCAUGAGAGUCGGGGACACCCGAAGUCCGUAGCCUAACCGCAAGGGGGGCGCGGCCGAAGGUGGAUUCGAUAAUUGGGGUGAAGUCGUAACAAGGUAAC
This 276-nucleotide ribosomal RNA is filed under the name uncultured bacterium. RNAcentral describes it as "partial 16S ribosomal RNA". It matches the Rfam family "Bacterial small subunit ribosomal RNA", at positions 1226 to 1500 of the family's 1533-position model. The record is from RNAcentral.